CUACGGGUUGCUCCAGUGAGGAGUAUUGCACAAUGGGGGGAACCCUGAUGCAGCAACGCCGCGUGGAGGAUGACGCAUUUCGGUGUGUAAACUCCUUUUAUAUGUCAAGAAAAUGACGGUAGCAUAUGAAUAAGCACCGGCUAACUCCGUGCCAGCAGCCGCGGUAAUACGGAGGGUGCAAGCGUUACUCGGAAUCACUGGGCGUAAAGGACGCGUAGGCGGGUUGGAAAGUCAGGUGUGAAAUCCUACAGCUUAACUGUAGAACUGCGCUUGAAACUUCUAAUCUAGAGUAUGGGAGGGGGAGAUGGAAUUAGUGGUGUAGGGGUAACAUCCGUAGAUAUCACUAGGAAUACCUAAAGCGAAGGCGAUCUCCUGGAACAUUACUGACGCUAAGGCGUGAAAGCGUGGGGAGCAAACAGGAUUAGAUACCCUCGUAGUC
RNAcentral lists this ribosomal RNA (439 nucleotides) under uncultured bacterium. RNAcentral's name for it is "partial 16S ribosomal RNA". It matches the Rfam family "Bacterial small subunit ribosomal RNA", at positions 339 to 795 of the family's 1533-position model. The record is from RNAcentral.